CCUACGGGAGGCAGCAGUAGGGAAUAUUGCUCAAUGGGGGAAACCCUGAAGCAGCAACGCCGCGUGGAGGAUGAAGGUUUUCGGAUUGUUAACUCCUUUUGUUAGAGAAGAUAAUGACGGUAUCUAACGAAUAAGCACCGUCUAACUCCGUGCCACCAGCGGCGGUAAUACGGAGGGUGCAACCGUUACUCGGAAUCACUGGGCGUAAAGAGCGCGUAGGCGGGAUAGCAAGUCAGAUGUGAAAUCCUAUGGCUUAACCAUAGAACAGCAUUUGAAACUGUUAUUCUAGAGUAUGGGAGAGGUAGGUGGAAUGCUUGGUGUAGGGGUAAAAUGCGUAGAGAUCAAGAAGAAUACUCAUUGCGAAGGCGACCUGCUAGAACAUAACUGACGCUGAUGCGCGAAAGCGUGGGGAGCGAACAGGAUUAGAUACCCUAGUAGUC
Molecule: ribosomal RNA, 440 nt
Filed under: uncultured bacterium
Lineage: Bacteria
Description: partial 16S ribosomal RNA
Rfam family: Bacterial small subunit ribosomal RNA
Source: RNAcentral